RNAcentral lists this ribosomal RNA (466 nucleotides) under uncultured bacterium. Its description in RNAcentral is "partial 16S ribosomal RNA". It matches the Rfam family "Bacterial small subunit ribosomal RNA", at positions 28 to 507 of the family's 1533-position model. The record is from RNAcentral.
GAUGAACGCUGGCGGCGUGCUUAACACAUGCAAGUCGAACGGAAAGGCCACAGCUUGCUGUGGUACUCGAGUGGCGAACGGGUGAGUAACACGUGGGUGAUCUGCCCUGUACUUCGGGAUAAGCUUGGGAAACUGGGUCUAAUACCGGAUAGGAAUCACAUGUGGGUGUGUGGUUGGAAAGCUUUUGCGGUAUGGGAUGAGCUCGCGGCCUAUCAGCUUGUUGGUGGGGUAAUGGCCUACGAAGGCGUCGACGGGUAGCCGGCCUGAGAGGGUGUACGGCCACAUUGGGACUGAGAUACGGCCCAGACUCCUACGGGAGGCAGCAGUGGGGAAUAUUGCACAAUGGGCGCAAGCCUGAUGCAGCGACGCCGCGUGGGGGAUGACGGCCUUCGGGUUGUAAACUCCUUUCGUCAGGGACGAAGCGAAAGUGACGGUACCUGGAGAAGAAGCACCGGCUAACUACGUG